CCCAUAUGAUGAAACCCGCACAUGUCUUACACCUUGUGCUGAUGCCAGACCUGAAAAGGUGAACCCACUGGUGUUGCCUUGGUAAUAAGGGGAGGACUUUGUUGGGGUUACCAACAGUCUGAAGGGA
Cynoglossus semilaevis (tongue sole) is the source of this 127-nucleotide small nucleolar RNA. Its record names the gene SNORD22. It matches the Rfam family "Small nucleolar RNA SNORD22". From Rfam's summary of the family: U22 is a member of the C/D class of snoRNA which contain the C (UGAUGA) and D (CUGA) box motifs. The record is from Ensembl. NCBI's taxonomy places the organism in Eukaryota, Metazoa, Chordata, Actinopteri, Pleuronectiformes, Cynoglossidae.